Molecule: long non-coding RNA, 1288 nt
Organism: Pelmatolapia mariae (spotted tilapia)
Lineage: Eukaryota; Metazoa; Chordata; Actinopteri; Cichliformes; Cichlidae
Exons: 2
Source: RefSeq, a predicted model, not a curated record
ACACCGCUAGGGACCUUAACGUCACAGACCUGCAGCUGGUAUAAAAAGCUCUGUCUGAUCCAGCCUCCACAUUAGAGAGAAGCAGCGUCUGAGAGCAUCGUAAACCAUCUGGCCAGGUUACAAAGAAAAAACAAAUGUGCAAAAUGACGAAUGUUCAGCUAGGAGUGGUUUUGCUCGCCAUAUGUUUAUCAACACAGAUGGUCUCCUGGACUGCAAUGGCAGCCAGCAACAACAGCACAGCUAUGACAGCAGGGGGGAACUCCACCUACAACGCUACCACUACUACGGCCACAGACACCUUUGGCGGUCCAAGCAACUCCACCUCCCCUACUGGAGCAGGUGUCUCACUGCACACAGGCACCUUCACUUUCUUGAUCCCCUUCAUCAUGGCAGCCUUUCUCCUCCAAAGCUACUGUUGAAGCCCGGAGCCCACAGCCCCCAUCUUCUCUGCCUCAACACUCCUCCUCACCUCCCAUCCCAUUAUCCCACGCAGUCCAGCCUCUCUCAGAGACCACAAGACUAACAUGGAUGGGCUCUGCAACCUUUCUACGUCCUCCUUAAGUAAUGCUAAAAAGUAUGUAAGUCAAGACAUUUCUUUUAACAAAGGGGGGUUUAGCCUACAGCAGGAGAUCAUCACCAAUCCAACUUCCUUCAGCCCCUUGCAUGGAUUCAAAAGGAACAGUGGUGCAUCCAGCUUCCCUUUUUGGCUUGCAUUUCCUUAGUCAUGCCAUCACAUUUUGGAGAUGCUCAGGGCUGCGAGUUUUCAUGUCAUGUGUCUCGAUUGAAAUGCGGACCACUUGAGUGUACAGAGGUUCUUUUUGUGGCUUCUAAUCGACCUGGCAAUCAAUAUCAGAAUGUGUUUUGUUUGUUAAAGUUUGGCAGAUACAGUAGGAGGUUUGAGAAAAAAGUAUGAGCCAGAUGACCUCUUUAGUUGGUUUUACAAACAAAACAAAACAAAAAACAAAAAAAUGGCUCUUCAGUCUUUUUAUUAGAAAUGUCACUGAGAUGUAUGUAGCAAAAAAGUUGCCACACGAUGUGUCAGUUUUGCCUUGUGAUUUUUAAAGAGCUGUGGUCUUUUACAAUGAGGGUUUGAUUGACACCUUUGCUCCCUUCAUCCAACGGUUAGGUGCAGGAAAUGAGUGUAUGUAAAACCAUAUGGGAAGGGUUGAUGUUACAAUUCCCCCUUAUAGUUUAUAUUUUGUAUAAAUGGAAAUGUUGUACUGUUUAUUAGUUUGCGUAAAGAUCAUUGAAGAAACGACAAUGUACAAUAAAUUAUGAAAAACUACAA